AGCUUUGUGUAGUGGCAGUAUCGUAGCCAAUGAGGUUUAUCCGAGGCGCGAUUAUUGCUAAUUGAUGUUUGAAAACUUUGGGGGCUUCCAGAUCAUCUAUUUAUAUACAUCUUUGUUCUGAAAUAACGUAUCACCAGGUUGACAGGUUGAAAAUUAUUGGCAAGUCUGCCUUUUCCUAAUAC
RNAcentral lists this small nuclear RNA (182 nucleotides) under Zalophus californianus (California sea lion). RNAcentral describes it as "U4 spliceosomal RNA (ENSZCAG00015000596.1)". The stretch from base 1 to 66 matches the Rfam family "U4 spliceosomal RNA". The record is from RNAcentral. Lineage: Eukaryota; Metazoa; Chordata; Mammalia; Carnivora; Otariidae.